RNAcentral lists this transfer RNA (63 nucleotides) under Leucophoroptera quadrimaculata. Its description in RNAcentral is "tRNA-Arg". Lineage: Eukaryota; Metazoa; Arthropoda; Insecta; Hemiptera; Miridae. The record is from RNAcentral.
AAGUAGUGAAGUAAUAUUUACAUUUAGUUUCGACCUAAAAAUAGAGUUGUAACUCCUUACUUU